Molecule: long non-coding RNA, 243 nt
Filed under: Homo sapiens (human)
Lineage: Eukaryota; Metazoa; Chordata; Mammalia; Primates; Hominidae
Description: HSALNT0366230
Source: RNAcentral
CGAAAACUAAUAAUCAGUGGUAUUCUCAAUAGAGCCUUUCCAUUUAGUGUGGAUGCUGAUGCAGAUCUGAAAAAAAAUUGUUAAUGCAUCUAAAGAUACAGAAAACAAGUAUUUCUGAAUGGAAAGACCCAUGAUAUUGAAAAUUUUGAAAAAGAAGAGAAUUAGGAGAGGUUCCUUUAUGAAAAGGCAAAUAUAUUAAAUAUGUAAUGAUUAUAACUGUGGCAUAUUUUAGGAAUAAGCAGA